CUGUUGGGUAGGGGAGCGUCGUGUAAGCGGAUGAAGGUGUACUGAGAAGUAUGCUGGACGUAUCACGAGUGCGAAUGCUGACAUAAGUAACGAUAAAACGAGUGAAAAACUCGUUCGCCGGAAGACCAAGGGUUCCUGUCCAACGUUAAUCGGGGCAGGGUGAGUCGGCCCCUAAGGCGAGGCUGAAAAGCGUAGUCGAUGGGAAACGGGUUAAUAUUCCCGUACUUGGAUAAACUGCGAUGUGGGGACGGAGAAGGUUAGGUUAGCAGACUGUUGGAUGUCUGUUUAAGGCGGUAGUUGGGAGACUUAGGCAAAUCCGGGUCUCUGUUAACAACGAGAACUGAUGACGAGCUGCUACGGCAGUGAAGUAACCGAUACCACGCUUCCAGGAAAAGCCACUAAGCUUCAGGUUUAUCUAAACCGUACUGAAAACCGACACAGGUGGUCAGGUAGAGAAUACUCAGGCGCUUGAGAGAACUCGGGUGAAGGAACUAGGCAAAAUAGCACCGUAACUUCGGGAGAAGGUGCGCCGGCGUAGAUUGUAGUGAUUUACUCACGAAGGUUGAACCGGUCGAAGAUACCAGCUGGCUGCAACUGUUUAUUAAAAACACAGCACUCUGCAAACACGAAAGUGGACGUAUAGGGUGUGAUGCCUGCCCGGUGCUGGAAGGUUAAUUGAUGGUGUUAUCGCAAGAGAAGCUCCUGAUCGAAGCCCCAGUAAACGGCGGCCGUAACUAUAACGGUCCUAAGGUAGCGAAAUUCCUUGUCGGGUAAGUUCCGACCUGCACGAAUGGCAUAAUGAUGGCCAGGCUGUCUCCACCCGAGACUCAGUGAAAUUGAAAUCGCCGUGAAGAUGCGGUGUACCCGCGGCUAGACGGAAAGACCCCGUGAACCUUUACUAUAGCUUGACACUGAACAUUGAAUUUUGAUGUGUAGGAUAGGUGGGAGCCUUAGAAGCAGUCACGCCAGUGAUUGUGGAGGCGUCCUUGAAAUACCACCCUUUAACGUUUGAUGUUCUAACGAAGAUUACGAAACGUGGUCUCGGACAGUGUCUGGUGGGUAGUUUGACUGGGGCGGUCUCCUCCCAAAGAGUAACGGAGGAGCACGAAGGUUUGCUAAUCACGGUCGGACAUCGUGAGGUUAGUGCAAUGGUAUAAGCAAGCUUAACUGCGAGACAGACAAGUCGAGCAGGUGCGAAAGCAGGUCAUAGUGAUCCGGUGGUUCUGAAUGGAAGGGCCAUCGCUCAACGGAUAAAAGGUACUCCGGGGAUAACAGGCUGAUACCGCCCAAGAGUUCAUAUCGACGGCGGUGUUUGGCACCUCGAUGUCGGCUCAUCACAUCCUGGGGCUGAAGUAGGUCCCAAGGGUAUGGCUGUUCGCCAUUUAAAGUGGUACGCGAGCUGGGUUUAGAACGUCGUGAGACAGUUCGGUCCCUAUCUGCCGUGGGCGUUGGAUGAUUGAAAGGGGCUGCUCCUAGUACGAGAGGACCGGAGUGGACGCAUCACUGGUGUACCAGUUGUCUCGCCAGAGGCACUGCUGGGUAGCUAAAUGCGGAAGAGAUAAGUGCUGAAAGCAUCUAAGCACGAAACUUGCCUUGAGAUGAGUCAUCCCACUCUUUAAGAGUGUAAGGGUUGUUGGAGACUACGACGUAGAUAGGCUGGGUGUGUAAGCGUUGCGAGACGUUGAGCUAACCAGUACUAAUUGCCCGAGAGGCUUAACCAUACAACCUCAAGCGUU
Molecule: ribosomal RNA, 1736 nt
Filed under: Pasteurellaceae bacterium 15-036681
Lineage: Bacteria; Pseudomonadati; Pseudomonadota; Gammaproteobacteria; Pasteurellales; Pasteurellaceae
Description: bacterial LSU rRNA
Rfam family: Bacterial large subunit ribosomal RNA
Source: RNAcentral